UGCUGGAAUAAAUUGACUAUCUGAUUUGUUCCGGAACGAUGUAACUAGUUGUUUUGUUCCGGCCAGAAUUUUUCAACUAGCUACAUUGUUCCGGGAAUUUUCAACUAGCUACUUUUUCCGGAACUUUUCAACUGCACUCGGAAUAAAACAACUAGUUGGAAAGUUCCAUCGGAACGAAAUAACUAGUUGAAAAGUUCCGCCGGAACAAAGUAACUGGCGGAACA
RNAcentral lists this long non-coding RNA (224 nucleotides) under Mytilus galloprovincialis (Mediterranean mussel). The record is from RNAcentral. Lineage: Eukaryota; Metazoa; Mollusca; Bivalvia; Mytilida; Mytilidae.